This 451-nucleotide ribosomal RNA is filed under the name uncultured bacterium. RNAcentral's name for it is "bacterial SSU rRNA". It matches the Rfam family "Bacterial small subunit ribosomal RNA", at positions 8 to 461 of the family's 1533-position model. The record is from RNAcentral.
AGAGUUUGAUCCUGGCUCAGAUUGAACGCUGGCGGCAUGCUUUACACAUGCAAGUCGAACGGCAGCGGGGGCUUCGGCCUGCCGGCGAGUGGCGAACGGGUGAGUAAUGCAUCGGAACGUGCCCAGUCAUGGGGGAUAACUACGCGAAAGCGUAGCUAAUACCGCAUACGCCCUGAGGGGGAAAGCGGGGGAUCGCAAGACCUCGCGUGAUUGGAGCGGCCGAUGUCGGAUUAGCUAGUUGGUGGGGUAAAGGCCUACCAAGGCGACGAUCCGUAGCGGGUCUGAGAGGAUGAUCCGCCACACUGGGACUGAGACACGGCCCAGACUCCUACGGGAGGCAGCAGUAGGGAAUUUUGGACAAUGGGGGCAACCCUGAUCCAGCCAUGCCGCGUGAGUGAAGAAGGCCUUCGGGUUGUAAAGCUCUUUCAGACGGAAAGAAAUCGGGCGGGUG